Molecule: ribosomal RNA, 505 nt
Filed under: uncultured bacterium
Lineage: Bacteria
Description: bacterial SSU rRNA
Rfam family: Bacterial small subunit ribosomal RNA
Source: RNAcentral
AGAACGAACGCUGGCGGCGCGUUUAAGCAUGCAAGUCGAGCGGCAAGGGCCUUCGGGCCCCUAGAGCGGCGGACGGGUGAGUAACACGUGGACAAUCGUCGCCCCCCGGCCCGGGAUAGCCCAGGGAAACCUGGAUUAGUACCGGAUGAGACGGGACCCGCGAUGGCGGGAUCCGGGAAAGGCGCUGCGGCGCCGCCGGGGGAUGAGUCUGCCGUCCCAUUAGCUGGACGGCGGGGUAACGGCCCACCGUGGCGACGAUGGGUAGCCGGCCUGAGAGGGUGGACGGCCACAUUGGAACUGAGACACGGUCCAGACUCCUACGGGAGGCAGCAGCUAAGAAUCUUCCGCAAUGGGCGAAAGCCUGACGGAGCGACGCCGCCGUGAACGAAGAAGGCCGUGAGGUUGUAAAGUUCUUUUCGGGAGGGGGAACAACCGUGGCAGGGAAUGGCCGCGGGAUGACGUGAAUCCCGGAAUAAGCCCCGGCUAACUACGUGCCAGCAGCAGC